This 73-nucleotide transfer RNA is filed under the name Spirochaetales bacterium. RNAcentral describes it as "tRNA-Thr". It matches the Rfam family "tRNA". From Rfam's summary of the family: Transfer RNA (tRNA) molecules are approximately 80 nucleotides in length. Their secondary structure includes four short double-helical elements and three loops (D, anti-codon, and T loops). The record is from RNAcentral. RNAcentral also lists the same sequence under 2 other names. Lineage: Bacteria; Pseudomonadati; Spirochaetota; Spirochaetia; Spirochaetales.
GCCCUCAUAGCUCAUACGGUAGAGCGUUUCCAUGGUAAGGAAAAGGUACUCGGUUCGAUUCCGAGUGAGGGCU